Molecule: ribosomal RNA, 301 nt
Filed under: uncultured bacterium
Lineage: Bacteria
Description: partial 16S ribosomal RNA
Rfam family: Bacterial small subunit ribosomal RNA
Source: RNAcentral
CAGUAGCCGCGGGAAUACGGAGGGUGCAAGCGUUACUCGGAAUUACUGGGCGUAAAGCGUGCGUAGGUGGUGGUUUAAGUCCGUUGUGAAAGCCCUGGGCUCAACCUGGGAAUUGCAGUGGAUACUGGGUCACUAGAGUGUGGUAGAGGAUAGUGGAAUUUCCGGUGUAGCAGUGAAAUGCGUAGAGAUCUGGAGGAAUACCGGUGGCGAAGGCGGCCCCCUGGACAAAGACUGACACUCAGGUGCGAAAGCGUGGGGAGCAAACAGGAUUAGAUACCCCAGUAGUCCCUGUCUCUUAUAA